Molecule: long non-coding RNA, 564 nt
Organism: Scophthalmus maximus (turbot)
Lineage: Eukaryota; Metazoa; Chordata; Actinopteri; Pleuronectiformes; Scophthalmidae
Exons: 2
Source: RefSeq, a predicted model, not a curated record
ACCAACCACCUCACGUGUUGCGUGAGUGGCGUAACUCCUGUCGUGAAUGGGGGAGUUACGCAACUGUGAAUGGGGGAGUUACGCCACUGUGACUGUAGCGGCGUGUCUCCCUGUCGGCCGCUUCCUGGGCAUUAGCCAAACUGCUCAGCAACGGAAUGGCAGGUGGGCCAUGACAGCGGAACGGCUGAAGACGGUGACUGUGUAGCUGUGACAUCACAUUUCAGCGGAAGACCUGACGCCUUGUAAAAAAAAAAACAGCUGAAAAGCGUUUCCUCGACAUUCUCUGGUGUUGUUGAUAGCUCAGCAACGGAAUGGCAGGUGGGCCAUGAGGGCGGAACGGCUGAAGACGGUGACUGUGUGGCUGUGACAUCACAUUUCAGCGGAAGACCUGACGCCUUGUUAAACAAAAAACAGCUGUGUAUUUGUCUGUUUAUUGACCGUUUUGACACUUUUACGGUACUUACAGAGCCCUUAUUUAUUAUGAAAAAAGCCAUGAAAUCUCAGCCCUUUAAAAGACUGUAAGUCUGUUUUUUGGUUACGGUUUAUUAAAUCAUUUUUUUUGUA